AUGGUACUCCUUCUGUCCGGAAAUACUUGUACUAGAAAUUGAUAAAAUGAAUGUAUCUAUAACUAAAGUAAGUCUAGAUACAACCAUUUCUAGGACAAGUAUUUCUGGACGGAGGGAGUACCAG
Triticum aestivum (bread wheat) is the source of this 124-nucleotide non-coding RNA. The record is from Rfam. NCBI's taxonomy places the organism in Eukaryota, Viridiplantae, Streptophyta, Magnoliopsida, Poales, Poaceae.